CAGGGAAAUGCCCUUUCAAGUCUUCCGAGUCCCAACCCUGUAAAAAUGUCGCCAGCAAACGGCUUAAAGGUGUACUACCAAGAGUAAAAGCUGAGCAGCAGAUUCCUGAUAACGUUUAUGCGUGUAGACAAACCAGGCCUCGAUUCCGUUCGGUCUGCAGUAGGACUGAAGCCAUCUGAUUGUCGCAUAGUGAAGGCUAAUUGAGAAAACAGACUUAGGUGCAGACACGGUGUUCAGCCCUUGGAUAGCAUUCAAUAGCUCAGAGCUGGCAACAGUGGAGCUUCUGUCACCUAUCGUCUUGAAGGGCCCAGGAAGAGAGCUGGCCCUUAGGCAAGAAUGCCUGACAGGAAUGUUCAGCAAAGGAAGCCGUGCCCAUCUUUGGGCAGAGAAGAAAAUAGUCUCUAAACUCUAAGAGCUGCGGCUGGAGAGAGAGCUCAUCCAGUGAAGUCACUCUUGGUGAGUUCCUGGUUUUGACCUUGUCAUCAGAAUGACCAGACUGUGGGCAGAGAGAGCUUGACACUUUCACCCCCAACUCCUGUCCUCUGCAGAAGGGAGAAGGGCUGGAAGCUGAACUGAUUCCUGAUGAAAUCUCUAUGAAAAUCCUCUGAGCUAGAGCUUCAAGCAGCUGGGCUGCAGACCAUCUGAAGGGUCCUGGAGGGUAGUGAACCCAAAGAGGAGCACGGAAGCUCCAUCCGGCUCCCACCUGACCAUACUUUG
Molecule: long non-coding RNA, 717 nt
Organism: Microtus ochrogaster (prairie vole)
Lineage: Eukaryota; Metazoa; Chordata; Mammalia; Rodentia; Cricetidae
Source: RefSeq, a predicted model, not a curated record